This 466-nucleotide ribosomal RNA is filed under the name uncultured bacterium. Its description in RNAcentral is "bacterial SSU rRNA". It matches the Rfam family "Bacterial small subunit ribosomal RNA", at positions 338 to 795 of the family's 1533-position model. The record is from RNAcentral.
CCUACGGGGGGCAGCAGUGGGGAAUAUUGCGCAAUGGGGGAAACCCUGACGCAGCGACGCCGCGUGAGCGAAGAAGGCCUUAGGGUCGUAAAGCUCUGUUUUAGGGGACGAAUGUCGAGAGCAGUAAUAUGGUUCUCGAAUGACGGUACCCUAAGAGGAAGCCCCGGCUAACUACGUGCCAGCAGCCGCGGUAAGACGUAGGGGGCGAGCGUUGUCCGGAAUUACUGGGCGUAAAGAGCACGUAGGCGGGACUUUAAGUCAGAUGUGAAAGACCGGGGCUCAACCCCGGGGUUGCAUUUGAAACUGGAGUUCUUGAGGGCAGGAGAGGGCAGUAGAAUUCCUGGUGUAGCGGUGAAAUGCGUAGAAAUCAGGAGGAAUACCAGUGGCGAAGGCGACUGCCUGGACUGACCCUGACGCUGAGGUGCGAAAGCGUGGGUAGCAAACAGGAUUAGAUACCCGAGUAGUC